RNAcentral lists this ribosomal RNA (520 nucleotides) under Scheffersomyces stipitis. RNAcentral's name for it is "eukaryotic LSU rRNA". It matches the Rfam family "Eukaryotic large subunit ribosomal RNA", at positions 111 to 649 of the family's 3401-position model. Lineage: Eukaryota; Fungi; Ascomycota; Pichiomycetes; Serinales; Debaryomycetaceae. The record is from RNAcentral.
AAAUUUGAAAUCUGGCACCUUCGGUGUCCGAGUUGUAAUUUGAAGAAGGUAACUUUGGAGUCAGCUCUUGUCUAUGUUCCUUGGAACAGGACGUCACAGAGGGUGAGAAUCCCGUGCGAUGAGAUGUCUGAUUCUAUGUAAAGUGCUUUCGAAGAGUCGAGUUGUUUGGGAAUGCAGCUCUAAGUGGGUGGUAAAUUCCAUCUAAAGCUAAAUAUUGGCGAGAGACCGAUAGCGAACAAGUACAGUGAUGGAAAGAUGAAAAGAACUUUGAAAAGAGAGUGAAAAAGUACGUGAAAUUGUUGAAAGGGAAGGGUUUGAGAUCAGACUUGGUAUUUUGUAUGUCUUGCUUUCGGGUGGGGCCUCUACAGUUUACUGGGCCAGCAUCGGUUUGGACGGUAGGAUAAUGACAUUGGAAUGUGGCACCACUUCGGUGGUGUGUUAUAGACUUUGUUGAUACUGCCUGUCUAGACCGAGGACUGCGUCUUUGACUAGGAUGCUGGCAUAAUGAUCUUAAACCGCC